GUAUCCGUAGCUCAGUUGGUAGAGCAUAACUUUCCGAAGGUUAGGGUCGCAUGUUCAAAUCAUGUCGGAUGCA
Molecule: transfer RNA, 73 nt
Filed under: Alteracholeplasma palmae J233
Lineage: Bacteria; Bacillati; Mycoplasmatota; Mollicutes; Acholeplasmatales; Acholeplasmataceae
Description: Acholeplasma palmae J233 tRNA
Rfam family: tRNA
About the family: Transfer RNA (tRNA) molecules are approximately 80 nucleotides in length.
Source: Rfam by way of RNAcentral